GGAUGUGAGGGCGAUCUGGCUGCAACAUCUGUCACCCCAUUGAUCGCCAGGGUUGAUUCGGCUGAUCUGGCUGGCUAGGCGGGUGUCCCCUUCCUCCCUCACCGCUCCAUGUGCGCCCCUCCCGAAGCUGCACGACGUCCCAGGUAUAGAAGGAGUGUACCGAGGUCUCCAGUCUUCGGUCCCGGGUAUACGAUAG
This 196-nucleotide small nuclear RNA is filed under the name Anolis carolinensis (green anole). RNAcentral describes it as "7SK RNA". It matches the Rfam family "7SK RNA", at positions 1 to 200 of the family's 331-position model. Rfam says of the family: 7SK was discovered as an abundant small nuclear RNA in the mid-70s but a possible function has only recently been suggested. Lineage: Eukaryota; Metazoa; Chordata; Lepidosauria; Squamata; Anolidae. The record is from Rfam by way of RNAcentral.